RNAcentral lists this small RNA (1336 nucleotides) under Pan troglodytes (chimpanzee). RNAcentral's name for it is "retained intron". Lineage: Eukaryota; Metazoa; Chordata; Mammalia; Primates; Hominidae. The record is from RNAcentral.
AUGGUGGAGACAUCACUAUACACCUUUGUCAAAAUCCAUAAGAUCUACAACACUAACGCAAAUCCUAAUGUAAACUAUGGACUUUGGUUAACAAUGAUGUAACCAUAUUGGCUCAUCAAUUAAAACAAAUGUAUGACACUAAUGCCAGAUGUUAAUAAUAGGAGAAACAGGUUGGCCGUGGGAGAGUGAGGGAAUAUGAGAAUUCUACCUUCUAUUCAAUGUUUCUGUAAACCUAAAACUGCUCUUUAAAAAGUCUAUUAGUUUAAAAAAAUAUAUUCAAUAUAGCCAGACUAAUAAAAAUAUCUUAACUAAAAAGCAAUACAAACCUAAACUGUCAGCAAUUAUUCUGUUUAUAGUGCUAUUCUGAUUGAACUUAGCUGUAGAAUAUUCUGCCAGAAAUAUGUAAUGGCAGUGAAUUACUGUAUAUAUCUAGUAACUUUGCUGUAUCUUUUCUUGUCUGGCAAAAAUGCACAGUGGUAUUCAUGCUAAGUCCUACUUUUAACUACCCUUAUUCCUUUCUCUUCAGUGACAGCUGGAGUAUCAGCCUUGGAAGUAUAUACGCCAAAAGAAAUCUUCGUGGCAAAUGGUACACAAGGGAAGCUGACCUGCAAGUUCAAGUCUACUAGUACAACUGGCGGGUUGACCUCAGUCUCCUGGAGCUUCCAGCCAGAGGGGGCCGACACUACUGUGUCGUUUUUCCACUACUCCCAAGGGCAAGUGUACCUUGGGAAUUAUCCACCAUUUAAAGACAGAAUCAGCUGGGCUGGAGACCUUGACAAGAAAGAUGCAUCAAUCAACAUAGAAAAUAUGCAGUUUAUACACAAUGGCACCUAUAUCUGUGAUGUCAAAAACCCUCCUGACAUCGUUGUCCAGCCUGGACACAUUAGGCUCUAUGUCGUAGAAAAAGAGAAUUUGCCUGUGUUUCCAGUUUGGGUAGUGGUGGGCAUAGUUACUGCUGUGGUCCUAGGUCUCACUCUGCUCAUCAGCAUGAUUCUGGCUGUCCUCUAUAGAAGGAAAAACUCUAAACGGGAUUACACUGGCUGCAGUACAUCAGAGAGUUUGUCACCAGUUAAGCAGGCUCCUCGGAAGUCCCCCUCCGACACUGAGGGUCUUGUAAAGAGUCUGCCUUCUGGAUCUCACCAGGGCCCAGUCAUAUAUGCACAGUUAGACCACUCCGGCGGACAUCACAGUGACAAGAUUAACAAGUCAGAGUCUGUGGUGUAUGCGGAUAUCCGAAAGAAUUAAGAGAAUACCUAGAACAUAUCCUCAGCAAGAAACAAAACCAAACUGGACUCUCGUGCAGAAAAUGUAGCCCAUUACCACAUGUAGCCUUGGA